UACGUAGGUGUCAAGCGUUGUCCGGAUUUAUUGGGCGUAAAGCGCCCGCAGGCGGCUUGCCAAGUUCGAUGUGAAAUCUCCCGGCUCAACUGGGAGGGUGCAUCGAAAACUGGCAGGCUUGAGGCAGGGAGAGGGAUGUGGAAUUCCAGGUGUAGUGGUGAAAUGCGUAGAUAUCUGGAGGAACACCAAUGGCGAAGGUAGCACUCUGGGACGUGACUGACGCUGAGACGCGAAAGCGUGGGGAGCAAACAGG
Molecule: ribosomal RNA, 253 nt
Filed under: uncultured bacterium
Lineage: Bacteria
Description: partial 16S ribosomal RNA
Rfam family: Bacterial small subunit ribosomal RNA
Source: RNAcentral